AUGUGUUUCUAUUUGCAGGUAUGCAUGUUCUCGCUAAGGAAUCUCCUACGCGAUCUACAUCCAGAUGGCAUCUAUAAGCCCAUCAUCCUAAUCCAGCAACCUCUAAAUGGCAUCUGUAAGCCCAUUCCACCACACUGCUAUCAUGUGAGCGCAAAUUUCUGGGCACUCUGGUGUCCAAUCAUCUUCUACCCUCGGAUUACGAAAGGCACGUCAGCCAAUCUGCAUCCUCAAGUCUAA
Molecule: non-coding RNA, 237 nt
Organism: Vicia faba (fava bean)
Lineage: Eukaryota; Viridiplantae; Streptophyta; Magnoliopsida; Fabales; Fabaceae
Source: the annotation of a GenBank genome assembly